GUCUACGGCCAUACCACCCUGAACGCGCCCGAUCUCUUCUGAUCUCGGAAGCUAAGCAGGGUCGGGCCUGGUUAGUACUUGGAAGGGAAAAAACAGGAAGGGAAAUUAUAGUCA
This 114-nucleotide ribosomal RNA is filed under the name Felis catus (domestic cat). Lineage: Eukaryota; Metazoa; Chordata; Mammalia; Carnivora; Felidae. The record is from RNAcentral.